GUCUAUGGCCAUGCCACCCUGAACAUGCCCGAUCUCGUCUGAUAUUGGAAGCUAAGCAGGUCGGCCCUGGUUAGUACUUGGAUGGGAGACCACCUAGGAAGACCAGGUGCUAUAGGUG
RNAcentral lists this ribosomal RNA (118 nucleotides) under Pteropus alecto (black flying fox). Lineage: Eukaryota; Metazoa; Chordata; Mammalia; Chiroptera; Pteropodidae. The record is from RNAcentral.